AACUGCUUUUAUGCGGGAAUAAAGUGAUUUACGUGUAUAUCAUUGCAUGUACCGCAUGAAUAAGGACCGGCUAAUUCCGUGCCAGCAGCCGCGGUAAUACGGAAGGUUCGGGCGUUAUCCGGAUUUAUUGGGUUUAAAGGGAGCGUAGGCUGAAUAUUAAGCGUGUUGUGAAAUGUAGUUGCUCAACAUCUGCACUGCAGCGCGAACUGGUAUUCUUGAGUGUGCGCGACGUAGGCGGAAUUCGUGGUGUAGCGGUGAAAUGCUUAGAUAUCACGAAGAACUCCGAUUGCGAAGGCAGCUUACGAGAGCACAACUGACGCUUAAGCUCGAAGGUGCGGGUAUCGAACAGGAUUAGAUACCCUGGUAGUCC
RNAcentral lists this ribosomal RNA (370 nucleotides) under uncultured Prevotella sp. RNAcentral describes it as "bacterial SSU rRNA". It matches the Rfam family "Bacterial small subunit ribosomal RNA", at positions 428 to 796 of the family's 1533-position model. The record is from RNAcentral. Lineage: Bacteria; Pseudomonadati; Bacteroidota; Bacteroidia; Bacteroidales; Prevotellaceae.